Molecule: long non-coding RNA, 882 nt
Organism: Gambusia affinis (western mosquitofish)
Lineage: Eukaryota; Metazoa; Chordata; Actinopteri; Cyprinodontiformes; Poeciliidae
Exons: 3
Source: RefSeq, a predicted model, not a curated record
CGAUUCCUGGGGAUGGCAGGAUUUUACCGUCGCUUUUGUAAAAACUUUUCUACGUCUGCCAUUUAAACUGGACAUAGAUGCCAGUGCUGUUGGGGUAGGAGCUGUCCUUCUGCAGGAUGAUAAAGACGGAAUAGAGCAUCCCGUAAGCUACUUCUCAAGGAAGUUUAAUCUUCAUCAAGGAUGUACAAUCAAAAUCAAAGACUUAUGCGGUGGGCUUUGAUCAUUCAGGAGUACAACCUGAAGAUCUGCCAUAAAAAGGGGUCUGAGAAUGUAUUGGCAGAUGCUUUGUCACGUGCUUUUUGAGCUUGGUUUCUUUUACCUGGAGUAUUCCAAACAUUUAUGUUUGGACUUAUAAGGGUGGGGGUGUUACAUGCCUGCAGGCUGUUUGUUUCUCUUUCCCCUCCCCCUUUGUCUCUUCACAGGUAUUAGGGAAAGCUGGUGUCAAUCUCCCUUGAUUGACCCUCAUCAACCAUGGGCCAAUCAGCAUCCAGGGAGGCCUUAUUUAAGCAGCCCAGCUGGGGAGAGCGGUGGAAACUGGCUUUGUUACCUGACGCAUGUCUUGUUGCUCUUUGUAUGAAGGUUUGUGGUGGGAGUUAGAGGGUGAGGUAAGUUUGGGGUACCCUGUACAUUUCAUCACGUAGGUGUUUGUUCUGUUAGAUACACUAGGUAAGUAGGUGGGUGCCGCCCAUGUAAAGUUUUGGUGGAAACUUUUGUUAGAUUAGAUAGGCAGGGUUUUUGUUUUCUUUUGUUUCUCUAGCACAGACGGAAGUUAGGCCCUGUUUUGUUUUAUUAUUUUCUUUGAUUUGGCACCACCUAACCACCCCUUUCUCCCCCACAGUUUGUGUGAGCCUUCUGGGAUUUUCAAUAUCAAUAAAUCCCUCC